UCCCUGGUGGCUCAGAGAUAAAAGCAUCUGCCUGCAAUGCACAAGACCUGGGUUCGAUCCCUGGGUCGGGAA
Molecule: transfer RNA, 72 nt
Filed under: Ovis aries (sheep)
Lineage: Eukaryota; Metazoa; Chordata; Mammalia; Artiodactyla; Bovidae
Rfam family: tRNA
About the family: Transfer RNA (tRNA) molecules are approximately 80 nucleotides in length. Their secondary structure includes four short double-helical elements and three loops (D, anti-codon, and T loops).
Source: Rfam by way of RNAcentral